GGACCCGCACAAGCAGCGGAGCAUGUGGUUUAAUUCGAAGCAACGCGAAGAACCUUACCAGGGCUUGACAUCCCCCUGACCGGUAUAGAGAUAUACCUUUUCUUCGGAACAGGGGAGACAGGUGGUGCAUGGUUGUCGUCAGCUCGUGUCGUGAGAUGUUGGGUUAAGUCCCGCAACGAGCGCAACCCUUAUCUUUAGUUGCCAUCAGGUGAAGCUGGGCACUCUAGAGAGACUGCCGGGGAUAACUCGGAGGAAGGUGGGGACGACGUCAAAUCAUCAUGCCCCUUAUGUCCUGGGCUACACACGUGCUACAAUGGCCUGAAACAAAGGGAAGCGAAGCCGCAAGGCGGAGCGAAACUCAAAAACCAGGUCCCAGUUCGGAUUGUGGGCUGCAACCCGCCCACAUGAAGUCGGAGUUGCUAGUAAUCGCGAAUCAGCAUGUCGCGGUGAAUGCGUUCCCGGGUCUU
This 467-nucleotide ribosomal RNA is filed under the name uncultured bacterium. RNAcentral's name for it is "bacterial SSU rRNA". It matches the Rfam family "Bacterial small subunit ribosomal RNA", at positions 917 to 1382 of the family's 1533-position model. The record is from RNAcentral.